UACGUAGGGGGCAAGCGUUGUCCGGAAUCAUUGGGCGUAAAGAGCGUGUAGGCGGUCCGUUAAGUCGGCUGUGAAAGUCCAGGGCUCAACCCUGGGAUGCCGGCCGAUACUGGAGGACUAGAGUCCGGAAGAGGUGAGUGGAAUUCCCGGUGUAGCGGUGAAAUGCGCAGAUAUCGGGAGGAACACCAAUGGCGAAGGCAGCUCACUGGGACGGUACUGACGCUGAGGCGCGAAAGCGUGGGGAGCGAACAGG
This 253-nucleotide ribosomal RNA is filed under the name uncultured bacterium. RNAcentral describes it as "partial 16S ribosomal RNA". It matches the Rfam family "Bacterial small subunit ribosomal RNA", at positions 524 to 776 of the family's 1533-position model. The record is from RNAcentral.